UACGUAGGGCGCAAGCGUUGUCCGGAAUUAUUGGGCGUAAAGAGCUCGUAGGCGGCUUGUCACGUCGAUUGUGAAAGCCCGAGGCUUAACCUCGGGUCUGCAGUCGAUACGGGCUAGCUAGAGUGUGGUAGGGGAGAUCGGAAUUCCUGGUGUAGCGGUGAAAUGCGCAGAUAUCAGGAGGAACACCGGUGGCGAAGGCGGAUCUCUGGGCCAUUACUGACGCUGAGGAGCGAAAGCCAGGGUAGCGAACGGG
RNAcentral lists this ribosomal RNA (253 nucleotides) under uncultured bacterium. RNAcentral's name for it is "partial 16S ribosomal RNA". It matches the Rfam family "Bacterial small subunit ribosomal RNA", at positions 524 to 776 of the family's 1533-position model. The record is from RNAcentral.